Molecule: unclassified non-coding RNA, 163 nt
Filed under: uncultured Acremonium
Lineage: Eukaryota; Fungi; Ascomycota
Also listed under: 1 other name
Description: sequence contains ITS1
Source: RNAcentral
CUGAGUGUAAAAACUCCCAAACCCCUGUGAACAUACCAUCUGUUGCUUCGGCGGGAUCGCCCCGGGCGCCUUUGCGUGCCCCGGAUCCAGGCGCCCGCCGGAGGACUCCAAACUCUUGUUUUAUAUGUGGCAUUAUCUGAGUGGCUUAUAGCAAAAUAAAUCA